RNAcentral lists this ribosomal RNA (484 nucleotides) under uncultured bacterium. RNAcentral's name for it is "partial 16S ribosomal RNA". It matches the Rfam family "Bacterial small subunit ribosomal RNA", at positions 28 to 523 of the family's 1533-position model. The record is from RNAcentral.
GACGAACGCUGGCGGCGUGCUUAACACAUGCAAGUCGGACGAUGAAGCCGGAGCUUGCUCUGGUGAAUUAGUGGCGAACGGGUGAGUAACACGUGAGUAACCUGCCCUUGACUCUGGGAUAACUGCUAGAAAUGGUAGCUAAUACCGGAUACGACCCUCGGCGGCAUCGCCAGGGGGUGGAAAGAAUUUCGGUCGAGGAUGGACUCGCGGCCUAUCAGCUAGUUGGUGAGGUAACGGCUCACCAAGGCGACGACGGGUAGCCGGCCUGAGAGGGUGACCGGCCACACUGGGACUGAGACACGGCCCAGACUCCUACGGGAGGCAGCAGUGGGGAAUAUUGCACAAUGGGCGCAAGCCUGAUGCAGCAACGCCGCGUGAGGGAUGACGGCCUUCGGGUUGUAAACCUCUUUUAGUAGGGAAGAAGCGAAAGUGACGGUACCUGCAGAAAAAGCACCGGCUAACUACGUGCCAGCCGCCGCGGUAA